RNAcentral lists this long non-coding RNA (259 nucleotides) under Pan troglodytes (chimpanzee). RNAcentral describes it as "long non-coding RNA NONPTRT010037". The record is from RNAcentral. Lineage: Eukaryota; Metazoa; Chordata; Mammalia; Primates; Hominidae.
GAUCCCUAAGUCUUACGGCCAAAGGGGCUGUGCAAAGGAACUUGGGAUCAAUUUUAAGGCUUUUAACAUUUCUCUGCCUCUGAUUAUUAGUUCAAACAUGCAUCAUAGGGAAUCAGAUUGGCGGGAAGGGGCAAUAGACAUCCCCCCACAGUUUAGGACCGUGAGAAGUUGAAUUGGAGGCAGGGGAAAAACUGUGGCCUUAUUAAAGGUGUUGUUUAAUAUUCCAAGUUUGGGAUCUGUGUCAAGUAGCCUCCAGUUA